Molecule: transfer RNA, 72 nt
Filed under: Candidatus Dormiibacterota bacterium
Lineage: Bacteria; Bacillati; Candidatus Dormiibacterota
Also listed under: 1 other name
Rfam family: tRNA
About the family: Transfer RNA (tRNA) molecules are approximately 80 nucleotides in length. Their secondary structure includes four short double-helical elements and three loops (D, anti-codon, and T loops).
Source: Rfam by way of RNAcentral
GGCGGCGUAGCUCAGCGGUAGAGCACACGACUCAUAAUCGCGAGGUCGCUGGUUCGAACCCAGCCGCCGCCA